GACGAACGCUGGCGGCGUGCUUAACACAUGCAAGUCGAACGGAAAGGCCCUGCUUGCAGGGUACUCGAGUGGCGAACGGGUGAGUAACACGUGGGUGAUCUGCCCUGCACUUCGGGAUAAGCCUGGGAAACUGGGUCUAAUACCGGAUAGGAGACAUUUUUAGUGUGAUGGUUGGAAAGUUUUGUCGGUGUAGGAUGAGCUCGCGGCCUAUCAGCUUGUUGGUGGGGUAAUGGCCUACCAAGGCGGCGACGGGUAGCCGGCCUGAGAGGGUGGACGGCCACAUUGGGACUGAGAGACGGCCCAGACUCCUACGGGAGGCAGCAGUGGGGAAUAUUGCACAAGGGGCGCAAGCCUGAUGCAGCGACGCCGCGUGUGGGAUGACGGCCUUCGGGUUGUAAACUCCUUUCGCUAGGGACGAAGCUUUUUGUGACGGUACCUAGAGAAGAAGCACCGGCUAACUACGUG
This 465-nucleotide ribosomal RNA is filed under the name uncultured bacterium. RNAcentral's name for it is "partial 16S ribosomal RNA". It matches the Rfam family "Bacterial small subunit ribosomal RNA", at positions 28 to 507 of the family's 1533-position model. The record is from RNAcentral.